This 329-nucleotide unclassified non-coding RNA is filed under the name soil metagenome. RNAcentral describes it as "partial contains 5.8S ribosomal RNA, internal transcribed spacer 2, and large subunit ribosomal RNA". The stretch from base 1 to 120 matches the Rfam family "5.8S ribosomal RNA", at positions 35 to 154 of the family's 154-position model. The record is from RNAcentral.
GAUGAAGAACGCAGCGAAAUGCGAUAAGUAAUGUGAAUUGCAGAAUUCAGUGAAUCAUCGAAUCUUUGAACGCACAUUGCGCCCCUUGGUAUUCCGAGGGGCAUGCCUGUUCGAGCGUCAUUAUAACCCCUCAAGCUCAGCUUGGUGUUGGGGCCUGCUGCACUGGCAGCCCUUAAAAUCAGUGGCGGCGCCAUCUGGCUCUAAGCGUAGUAAUUCUUCUCGCUAUGGAGUCCUGGUGGAUGCUUGCCAUCAACCCCCAAUUUUUCUAUGGUUGACCUCGGAUCAGGUAGGGAUACCCGCUGAACUUAAGCAUAUCAAUAAGCGGACGA